This is a long non-coding RNA of Oxyura jamaicensis (ruddy duck), 2929 nucleotides long. RefSeq lists it as uncharacterized. NCBI's taxonomy places the organism in Eukaryota, Metazoa, Chordata, Aves, Anseriformes, Anatidae. The record is from RefSeq and is a predicted model, not a curated record. The transcript is spliced from 3 exons.
GGUGCAGCACCCGCAGCCUCCCUGGCGUGCAGGUGGAACAGGAGUGCUCCAAGCCUCCGAACGCUGUCCUUACAGACAAGAAGCAGCCAGCAGCCCCCCUGCCUCCAGCAGUUAAAUACUGGCUGUAAGCACGUGGAAUUGCACGUUCACUCUGGUAUCUUGUGGACCCAGGCAGAAACCAAAGCACGUCACUGCUUUAGAGGCCUGGCAAGUUCCUGGGACACAGAGAGCUUUGGUAGGAACCUGCAUUACAAUCAUGGAAAAUUUAGGUCAAAAAGAAUUGAAGGUCAUCCAGCCUGCUCAAGGCAGGGCUGACUUCCAGAUCAGACCAAGGAAUGUCAGUUUCCCUCUCCGAAGAGCCCUGCCCAAGUAACACUGCAACAGCAGCGUCGCUUCUUGGUUUCAUCACCCCUUGUCUGUCCUCACUACAAAAGUGGCUCUAGAAAUCAUGGUCUAAGAAUCGGGAGUAAAAGGACACAUUUUUCAAGUGUUAGCACACAAAAAUGUGUUAAACAAGUGGAGCAUCUGGUAAAACAUUUUGUAGGAGUAAACGGAGGAAGGUAGCAGAUUUUUUAGUUGACUAAAGAACAAAGAGCAGUUCGGAAUAAUUAAGAAGCACUAAUUAACUGAAAUUUUUAAUGUAAGUGUAGUCUUUUUUUGGAAAGUUACUAAAUGCUCACAAUGGAGAGGCUGUCUCUGACAUAACUUGGUGAUUAUUUUCAUAUGGCUAAUAGCACCACACUCUUUACCUACGUGAUUCUGGAGAAGGGUUCAGUCUUGGAUGCUUUUAGUUCUUGGUGCAACAGCCUGCCACUUUGCUGGGCCCAUCUGUAGGUGUUAGAGAUUUGCUUGGUUGUCCCUUCUAUCUGUUCCUGCAUUUGUACUCUUCGGUACUAGCAGCAGUUUAUUCAGCUGAAGAACUGAUUUUUUUUUCCCAGUGAUCUGCAAAGUUUAGCUAGUUCCAGGAAUCGGUGCCAAACAUGUUUGUUCAAACAGGCUUGUCAUCGUAUUUUUGUCAAGACAAGGCUUUGUGCUAACUGAGGAUGACUUCUGGGGGGAGUUAACCAUUAGGCUGAAAUAAUUUGCCAUUUCCAGAGAAAGAAUACAAAAAGUAGGUGGGAAGCUAGUGACUAAACUAAUAAUCUUUCUCUCUCUCUCUAGGCUUGGCAUUUUCCUACUUAAAAAAAAAUGAAGAAUCCCAAAUCCUCUGGAAAAUUCUGUUGAACUAUGAUUGUUCUUUAAAGAUAUUAAGGAGCUUUUUAGGAACAGAAUGGUCAAGCUCUGUAACACAGGGGACUGUUUGAGUGAAGAACCAAAGGCAGUUAAUAAAGUGGCCAGAGAUCAAGAGCUGCAGGUGGGAGACACAGCCACCUGCAAGUGAUGUGUUACCUCCUCCUUGCUCCUGUGAUGGGAUUAAGGCCGGGAAACACUUCAGUGCAGAGAAAACAGGUUUGUGUGUGACAGGGAAGGGCUGCAUGCGGCGUCAUGUCACCAUCAACACCGUGUCUAUAAAAGCCACAGAGGUGCUCUCGCUCCAAAGGAAGGCCACAGCCCCAGACGGGUAUAGCAGGAGACUCCCCCAUGCCACCAACGGGUUACUCCACUGCUGUUUUUUCUUGGCUGUUUGGUUUUUUGGUUUUGGUUGGCUUUUGUUGUUUGGUUUUGACAGCAGCUCCAGGUGGAAGGAGGGUUAUAAAUACACUGUCAACAAGGGAAAGCGAAUUGCAGUUGUCUGUUAGCUGGGACAGCAUUUUUGGGGGCUGGUGAACGAGCCCCUGAUCCUACAGAUCUUUGUAAGCCUUCACUAGAGGACAGUUUGUAGAGGAGACACGGUUACAGGAAAUAUGUCUGGCCUGAAAUCUGUCACCGUUUGCAUUUAGCUCCUGGUUUGCAUUUCCAAGCAUUGCUUCCCUUGCCUGGGGAAUAGGCGAAAUGAAAGCUGAAAGAAAAACCAACAGCGACCAAAACCCAAACAAAACCAAACCAAAACCACCUUUACAAGACCCAUUUAUUUGAGAAAAGAGGGAGGAAGGCUCAGCAUCCCUCCCGGUGCUCCCUUACUCACCGCUCGUGCCCUCCAUCGCUGUGUGCGCGCAGAGGAGCCCCGGCACCGACCUCCGGCUGUCUCCGAGCGGGAUUUGAGGCUCUGGAGCAGCCGGGCUGCCUGCUCGGGCCGGGCGGCUGCAGCAUACCGCAGGGGAGGGAUGCGUGUGGCAGUGCUCGGUCCUUCAACCCGCAGCCCGGGGCGCCCGACGGAGCAUCGCCGUCGGGGUGACGGUGCCGUGCCGGGAGCGCGCGGGGAGCUGGCUGCGGGCUGCAAGGGGCAGGGAGCGCGCAUUUGGUCCUUGUGCUCCUUACUGUGGCUCGGGGGAGGAGGACGCCCCGAGGAGUCGCGUGGAAAAGGCGGCGGAAAAAAUCUUUCCCCGUCCAAAUAGGCAGCGGUCGGCGAGGGGAAAGCCCCCCGGCCGGGGGAAGGGACUGGGGGCGCUGAGCGGGCUCCUCUUCUCCUUCGGGGCGCGGCUUUCACUGCCCCGAGCCCCGGCCGACGCGCAGACAGCUGCCGGGAUGCCCCGAGUGCAGGAGCAAGCAAAAGGAGGCUCCAAACGCUCCGCGUUUAUAGAAAAUAAAGAUCAGGAGAGCCCCUGAACAGGGCAGAGGUAUUGAUAGGUUCUGAAACUAAUGACGUACAUGCGUAAAAAAAAUGUUGAGAAGUGGAUAACUGUCGAAAUAAUUUAUAUUUCUAACAGUUAUAUAGACUCUUAGCUUGGUGCGAGCAAACUAAACACUUAUUUUUUUUUUUCCUUUUAAGGAAAAAAGGUGAUUCCCUUCUAGCAGAUGGAAAACAAGGUGCACACAACUUGGGGCCUGCAGAAACGUCCCUUUCCUCCCGAAACCCCGCCGAGCUCCGAGGUGAUGCUGCUCGGGGCAG